Molecule: ribosomal RNA, 1445 nt
Filed under: uncultured bacterium
Lineage: Bacteria
Description: 16S ribosomal RNA
Rfam family: Bacterial small subunit ribosomal RNA
Source: RNAcentral
UGGCUCAGGAUAAACGCUAGCGGCAGGCCUAACACAUGCAAGUCGAGGGGCAGCGGAAGAAUUACUUCGGUAGUUCUGCCGGCGACCGGCGCACGGGUGCGUAACGCGUAUGCAACCUACCUUCAACAGGGGGAUAAUCCGAAGAAAUUUGGUCUAAUACCCCAUAAUAUUCAGAGAGGCAUCUUUUUGAGUUGAAAACUCCGGUGGUUGAAGAUGGGCAUGCGUUGUAUUAGCUGGAUGGUGAGGUAACGGCUCACCAUGGCGAUGAUACAUAGGGGGACUGAGAGGUUUUCCCCCCACACUGGUACUGAGACACGGACCAGACUCCUACGGGAGGCAGCAGUGAGGAAUAUUGGUCAAUGGACGCAAGUCUGAACCAGCCAUGCCGCGUGCAGGAAGAAGGUGCUAUGCAUUGUAAACUGCUUUUAUACGGGGGUAAUUACAGAUACGUGUAUCUGGAUGAAAGUACCGUAUGAAUAAGGAUCGGCUAACUCCGUGCCAGCAGCCGCGGUAAUACGGAGGAUCCGAGCGUUAUCCGGAUUUAUUGGGUUUAAAGGGUGCGUAGGCGGUCAGGUAAGUUAGAGGUGAAAGCUCGAUGCUCAACAUCGAAACUGCCUCUGAUACUGUCUGACUAGAGUGUAGUUGCGGAAGGCGGAAUGUGUGGUGUAGCGGUGAAAUGCUUAGAUAUCACACAGAACACCGAUUGCGAAGGCAGCUUUCCAAGCUAUUACUGACGCUGAGGCACGAAAGCGUGGGGAGCGAACAGGAUUAGAUACCCUGGUAGUCCACGCAGUAAACGAUGAUAACUCGUUGCCGGCGAUACACAGUCGGUGACUAGCGAAAGCGUUAAGUUAUCCACCUGGGGAGUACGUUCGCAAGAAUGAAACUCAAAGGAAUUGACGGGGGCCCGCACAAGCGGAGGAACAUGUGGUUUAAUUCGAUGAUACGCGAGGAACCUUACCCGGGCUUGAAAGUUAGCGACGGACUCUGAAAGGAGUCUUCUCUUCGGAGCGCGAAACUAGGUGCUGCAUGGUUGUCGUCAGCUCGUGCCGUGAGGUGUCGGGUUAAGUCCCAUAACGAGCGCAACCCCUACUGUCAGUUGCCAGCAUGUAAUGAUGGGGACUCUGGCAGGACUGCCGGUGUAAGCCGAGAGGAAGGUGGGGAUGACGUCAAAUCAGCACGGCCCUUACGUCCGGGGCGACACACGUGUUACAAUGGCCGGUACAGAGGGCAGCUACCUGGUGACAGGAUGCGAAUCUCGAAAGCCGGUCUCAGUUCGGAUUGGAGGCUGAAACUCGCCUCCAUGAAGUUGGAUUCGCUAGUAAUCGCGCAUCAGCCAUGGCGCGGUGAAUACGUUCCCGGGCCUUGUACACACCGCCCGUCAAGCCAUGGGAGUUGGGGGUGCCUGAAGUACGUGACCGCAAGGAGCGUCCUAGGGCAAAACU